RNAcentral lists this non-coding RNA (23 nucleotides) under Arabidopsis thaliana (thale cress). Lineage: Eukaryota; Viridiplantae; Streptophyta; Magnoliopsida; Brassicales; Brassicaceae. The record is from RNAcentral.
CAUCCUUCCAAACCCGUCCCGUU